AAGAGGAAGAGACGGUUACCAUGGAGACCACCAAGCGUCUCCGACCAGGUUGAGCCGCAAACGGUCCAAUAAUAAUCCAGCUGUAUUGUUGCAGAAUUUCAGAUGUUUCUGAUCAACUUGACGCGAAAGUGAAAAGAAUUUAAAAAACAUUUUAAAUCUUUUGCUCAUUCCGUAAAAUCACGAAGAACCAGAAUAAACGGAGCUGGACUUUGGUUUUAUUCAGCGGAACCGAGAGGAGAACCGGCUCUUUAAAAAAGAACCCAAUGAACAGAACCAGAUUUAAUCUGAUCCAUUGGAUCCCGCUUUGCUGUUAUAGUCAUUAUUUCUAUAAGACAAAUAAAACUCGUAUUAAUUCGCUGUUAAAUGAAACAACCUCCAGAACCGAACCGAACCUCCUGGUGAACGUUCCUGCAGAGGAACCGGAGCCUGCGGCUCCACAACAAAACCACAGAACAAGACUUUCACCAGAGUAAAGAGUCCUAAUUACAAACAGACAGGAACCCGGAACCCGUCCAGCUGCGGCCCAGAGCCGCUUCACCGAACCGAACCGGAACCGAAUCCGCUCAUCGGGUCCAAACUCAGCCGGACUGACCCGAUCUAAACAGGAAGAACCUCCAGAACGUCUCCUGCAAUAUCCUGUAAAAUAUCUAUUUGUAAAAGUUUAUAAACUCAUAAAAUAAAUUCAGAGGUAAAAUUUA
Non-coding RNA from Poecilia reticulata (guppy), 698 nucleotides. Lineage: Eukaryota; Metazoa; Chordata; Actinopteri; Cyprinodontiformes; Poeciliidae. The record is from RefSeq and is a predicted model, not a curated record.